This 2033-nucleotide long non-coding RNA is filed under the name Lathyrus oleraceus (garden pea). Its description in RNAcentral is "Pisum sativum (pea) long non-coding RNA (PSAT_LNC008460)". Lineage: Eukaryota; Viridiplantae; Streptophyta; Magnoliopsida; Fabales; Fabaceae. The record is from RNAcentral.
AAGAAUACUUGGGCCGUAGGCCCAAGUUCCAAGAUGAGUUCAAAUUCCAAUCGGGUCACCAAAUCCAUGGCCAUGUCACUACAGAGAGAUUCCAAGGUUAACAACGCUCAGCACGAACAUCCCUAAGAAAUUUAACUCCACCUUCUUCCGGAAUUCGAACAAUCGUCCAGAACGCGACCUUGCGUUAGCUUCAAAACGAAAAAAAUACGAAAAACUCACGUUAAAGAUUGAAACAACAAACUCACCUUCGGUGGCCGUUCAAAUCAACGUGAAUCUGAAAUCGUCUUCUCCGAUCUGUUUUGUCGUUGAUGACGCGUUGGAUGAACAAUGACGAUGAUGCUCCGAUUUGAAAUGUCAACGCAAGGUUAUGAUCAUCUCCUUUGGUUAUGCUCCGUCGUCAUCAUCCGUCGAUUCUGUUACGGCGUCGUUGCUUUGACGUCGCGUGGUACGCGUGUUACGAGUCGCUAUUGCUGAUGGGUUGCGUUGUGGGGUUGCAGUGAAGAGGGAAAGGCGUUGGAUCCUUUCUUUGAAGAGGGAAGGUAAUCGCUUCUGAGGCCCGUCGAAUCUCGAUCGAUGAAGACCUUUUCCCGAAACCGUGAGUUUUCUCCUUCCGUUUUGCGUUUUCCUCUUCUUUUGUUUCUGUUACGUUCUGUUGUUGAUUGGAGGAGAUUCCGUAAAAUUAUGCAGGUUGACGGAUUUUUAUGUGGACCUCAUUCAGAGCAGAUGGUGGAAGCUGGUGGUUAUUUGGAGAAGUUGGAGGAUUCCGCGGCGGGUUGCAGGGUGGAGGCGAAUGGGGGUUUGGUGGAUGUGAUUGUGAGGUUGAAGAAGUCGAUGAAGAGAAGUCAGCGUCAGUUCUGGGUUGCAAUGGAGAUGGAAAAAGAAAAAAAAAACGGGUGAAGAAACCAGUUCAGUUCUAUGGAGGUUGUUGAAGUUGUGGAGGUUAUGGAAAAUUGUGGAUUCAGUUAGGAAUUAGUUAGAUUCAAUGACAGUUGGCGACAGUUGGCGACAGUUGGAAUUGAUUAGGCGGUUAGGACGGUUGAAGAGAGUUGGAAUUCGGUUCGAGUUGGUUUCGACAGUUGCUAUUCAUCAUGGGAAGUUAUGGCACUUGGCAGGUUAGUUACCGAGUCGGUUCUCAUAUGAAGUUAGUCAUGGUUUCAGUGAGUGUUUCCAGUUCUCUAUUAUGCUAUGCUUCUAUUUUGCCUCCUUCUUUCCACUGUUAUGCUGUGGAUUCAAAUGGCUUAAUGUUGGAAAAGGUUGAUGUAUAUUUGUGUUUUUGCAGGCUAACGAUUUACGGUCUUUGUUACGGAGCUAUGGUCGGCAUGUUGUAAGGCUUGCAUUGGAUUAGAUUAUGUUGGAGGUGAUGAAAGCAUAAGUUUGAACUGAGUUAUGGUGAGGGAAGUUAGAAGCAGUUUUGAGCUAUGGUCGGCAUGUUGUAAGGCUUGCAUUGGAUUAGAUUAUGUUGGAGGUGAUGAAAGCAUAAGUUUGAACUGAGUUAUGGUGAGGGAAGUUAGAAGCAGUUUUGAAAUUGUUAUUAUUUUUUUUCAUGAAAUUUGCAGGUUAAAUGGGUUUGUUUGAAGUGUACGAUCCUUCCAACUGCAUGAAUGAGUCCACAAUGGGAGGUGCGACAAUGACAGUUGGUUCACCCAAGUUAAGCAAAUAUUGAGGAGAUUAUUCAUUGGGUACACUUGCCAUAUUAGCUCUCAAAACCUUGUUGCCGGCCGAUGUUCCUUUUUUAUGCUGUUAUUUGGAAUGCAUGGCCUGCAUGGAACGCAUGUUUUUAUGUAUGGAAAUAAUUGGAUUUGAAAUGUAUGAAUUGGUAUGGAUUAGUGUGUUUUUUGGGCUUUUGUUGUAAUUUUUGUGCAUUGAAUGUGUAAUGUAGGUAAUUGAAUUAGAAAUGUGAGGAAUCUGUGUAAUGUUUAAAUUGGAAUUGAAUACAUGUGAUUUUGGAAAUUGGCUUAUGUAAUGAAAGUGUAGUUUUGCAACUAAUGGUUGAAAUGUUUGUAGUGCAUUUGAAUUGUCAAUUAGAAAUAAUG